UUCGAUAACGAACGAGACCUCGACCUGCUAAAUAGUUCAGCAAAGGUUCUCCUUUGUGUGGACUUCUUAGAGGGACUAUCGGUGUGUAGCCGACGGAAGUUCGAGGCAGUAACAGGUCUGUGAUGCCCUUCGAUGUUCUGGGCCGCACGCGCGCUACACUGAUGCAUGCAUCAAGUAUACAACCUUGACUGACAGGUCUGGGUAAUCUUUGCAACAUGCAUCGUGCUGGGGAUAGAUGAUUGUAAUUAUUCAUCCUCAACGAGGAAUUCCUAGUAAACGCAAGUCAUCAACUUGCAUUGAUUACGUCCCUGCCCUUUGUUCACACCGCCCGUCGCUAAUACCGAUUGAAUGGCUCU
Molecule: ribosomal RNA, 356 nt
Filed under: Eukaryota sp.
Lineage: Eukaryota
Description: SSU rRNA
Rfam family: Eukaryotic small subunit ribosomal RNA
Source: RNAcentral